This 425-nucleotide ribosomal RNA is filed under the name uncultured bacterium. RNAcentral describes it as "bacterial SSU rRNA". It matches the Rfam family "Bacterial small subunit ribosomal RNA", at positions 354 to 796 of the family's 1533-position model. The record is from RNAcentral.
GUGGGGAAUAUUGGACAAUGGGCGCAAGCCUGAUCCAGCCAUGCCGCGUGAGUGAUGAAGGCCCUAGGGUUGUAAAGCUCUUUCACCGGAGAAGAUAAUGACGGUAUCCGGAGAAGAAGCCCCGGCUAAAUUCGUGCCAGCAGCCGCGGUAAUACGAAGGGGGCUAGCGUUGUUCGGAAUUACUGGGCGUAAAGCGCACGUAGGCGGAUAUUUAAGUCAGGGGUGAAAUCCCGGAGCUCAACUCCGGAACUGCCUUUGAUACUGGGUAUCUCGAGUAUGGAAGAGGGUAGUGGAAUUCCGAGUGUAGAGGUGAAAUUCGUAGAUAUUCGGAGGAACACCAGUUGCGAAGGCGGCUCACUGGUCCAUUACUGACGCUGAGGUGCGAAAGCGUGGGGAGCAAACAGGAUUAGAAACCCUGGUAGUCC